Molecule: ribosomal RNA, 253 nt
Filed under: uncultured bacterium
Lineage: Bacteria
Description: partial 16S ribosomal RNA
Rfam family: Bacterial small subunit ribosomal RNA
Source: RNAcentral
UACAGAGGGUGCGAGCGUUAAUCGGAAUUACUGGGCGUAAAGCGCGCGUAGGUGGCUUUGUAAGUCGGAUGUGAAAUCCCCGGGCUCAACCUGGGAACUGCAUUCGAAACUGUAUUGCUAGAGUAUGGAAGAGGGAAGUGGAAUUUCCGGUGUAGCGGUGAAAUGCGUAGAUAUCGGAAGGAACACCAGUGGCGAAAGCGACUUCCUGGUCCAAUACUGACACUCAAGUGCGAAAGCGUGGGGAGCAAACAGG